RNAcentral lists this ribosomal RNA (253 nucleotides) under uncultured bacterium. Its description in RNAcentral is "partial 16S ribosomal RNA". It matches the Rfam family "Bacterial small subunit ribosomal RNA", at positions 524 to 776 of the family's 1533-position model. The record is from RNAcentral.
UACAGAGGUCUCAAGCGUUGUUCGGAAUCACUGGGCGUAAAGGGUGCGUAGGCGGUGUAGAAAGUCAGAUGUGAAAUCCGGAGGCUCAACCUCCGAAUUGCAUCCGAAACUUCUACGCUAGAGGGUUGUAGAGGAGCUUGGAAUUCUCGGUGUAGCAGUGAAAUGCGUAGAUAUCGAGAAGAACGCUCGCAGCGAAAGCGGGGCUCUGGGCAACAUCUGACGCUGAUGCACGAAGGCUAGGGGAGCAAACGGG